RNAcentral lists this long non-coding RNA (561 nucleotides) under Homo sapiens (human). RNAcentral describes it as "JPX transcript, XIST activator". The stretch from base 1 to 125 matches the Rfam family "JPX transcript, XIST activator conserved region 1". The record is from RNAcentral. Lineage: Eukaryota; Metazoa; Chordata; Mammalia; Primates; Hominidae.
GGAAGACUUAAGAUGGCGGCGUUUGCACGGAGUGCAAUCACUGCGUCCUUACGGGGGUUGCAAGGCGUCCGAAGUAUGAGUCCACUAACAAAAGUCCAGAAACUCGCCAGUUAAUAGUAUUGUGAUGGAGUUCGCUCUUGUUGCCCAGGCUGGAAUGCAAUGGCAUGACCUUGGCUCACUGCAACCUCUGCCUCCCCAGUUCAAGUGGUUCUCCUGCCUCAGCCUCCCGAGUAGCUGAGAUUACAGUUUCUUCAAAGGAAAGAAGCAACUGGAACACACAUAUAACACUAACCCUUCCAGCUGCAUUAUGAGGGACCAGUACCUGUCUCAAGGCAAAAUUAUGACUUAGUUCAUCCUCACCUCUGGAGGCCAGUAAAAGUGGGUUAUAGAAGAACAAAGAGGCAUCUAGAUCUUUCACUGGGUUAUUUGGAGAGAAACAUCUCCUACCGAAGGCCAGUUUAACAAGACUGGUAGAGGAGGUUAUCUUAUCUAAUUCACAGAAAUCAACACAUUGAGUCAAGAAAAAUGAAACACAGAAACACUCUAAAUAAAAGAAGAUAA